This 465-nucleotide ribosomal RNA is filed under the name uncultured bacterium. RNAcentral's name for it is "partial 16S ribosomal RNA". It matches the Rfam family "Bacterial small subunit ribosomal RNA", at positions 28 to 507 of the family's 1533-position model. The record is from RNAcentral.
GAUGAACGCUGGCGGCGUGCUUAACACAUGCAAGUCGAACGGAAAGGCUCCUGCUUGCAGGGGUUCUCGAUUGGCGAACGGGUGAGUAACACGUGGGUGAUCUGCCCUGCACUUCGGGAUAUGCCUGGGAAACUGGGUCUAAUACAGGGUAGGACGUUGGUUUGGAUGCGAUUGUGGAGAGUUUUUCGGUGUUGGUUGAGCUCGUGGGCUAUCAGCUGCUUAGUUGGGUAAUGGGCGACCAAGGCGUCGACCGGUCGCCCGCCUUAGAGGGUGUACGGGCACAAUAGUACUGAGGGACGGAGCAGACGGCUACCGGCGGCAAGAGGGGAGAAUAUGGCACAAUGGGCGCAAGCCUGAUGCAGCGACGCUGCGUGGGGGAUGACGGCCUUCUGGUUGUAAACUCCUUUCGAUAGGGACGAAGCGCACGUGACGGUACCUGGAGAAGAAGCACCGGCUAACUACGUG